This 534-nucleotide ribosomal RNA is filed under the name Salmonella enterica subsp. enterica serovar Newport. Its description in RNAcentral is "partial 23S ribosomal RNA". It matches the Rfam family "Bacterial large subunit ribosomal RNA", at positions 73 to 644 of the family's 2925-position model. The record is from RNAcentral. Lineage: Bacteria; Pseudomonadati; Pseudomonadota; Gammaproteobacteria; Enterobacterales; Enterobacteriaceae.
AAGCGCCGGUAAGGUGAUAUGAACCGUUAUAACCGGCGAUUUCCGAAUGGGGAAACCCAGUGUGAUUCGUCACACUAUCAUUAACUGAAUCCAUAGGUUAAUGAGGCGAACCGGGGGAACUGAAACAUCUAAGUACCCCGAGGAAAAGAAAUCAACCGAGAUUCCCCCAGUAGCGGCGAGCGAACGGGGAGGAGCCCAGAGCCUGAAUCAGCAUGUGUGUUAGUGGAAGCGUCUGGAAAGGCGCGCGAUACAGGGUGACAGCCCCGUACACAAAAGCGCAUGUGCUGUGAGCUCGAUGAGUAGGGCGGGACACGUGGUAUCCUGUCUGAAUAUGGGGGGACCAUCCUCCAAGGCUAAAUACUCCUGACUGACCGAUAGUGAACCAGUACCGUGAGGGAAAGGCGAAAAGAACCCCGGCGAGGGGAGUGAAAAAGAACCUGAAACCGUGUACGUACAAGCAGUGGGAGCACAGGUUUACCUGUGUGACUGCGUACCUUUUGUAUAAUGGGUCAGCGACUUAUAUUCUGUAGCAAG